UAGAAAGUAAUAUAAGGGGAGUAUGGAGGAUUUUGAUUCCUCUUGUGUAGGUUCGAUUCCUACUUUUCUAU
Molecule: transfer RNA, 71 nt
Filed under: Semnornis frantzii
Lineage: Eukaryota; Metazoa; Chordata; Aves; Piciformes; Ramphastidae
Description: tRNA-Gln
Rfam family: tRNA
About the family: Transfer RNA (tRNA) molecules are approximately 80 nucleotides in length. Their secondary structure includes four short double-helical elements and three loops (D, anti-codon, and T loops). Further hydrogen bonds mediate the characteristic L-shaped molecular structure. tRNAs have two regions of fundamental functional importance: the anti-codon, which is responsible for specific mRNA codon recognition, and the 3' end, to which the tRNAs corresponding amino acid is attached (by aminoacyl-tRNA synthetases). tRNAs cope with the degeneracy of the genetic code in two manners: having more than one tRNA (with a specific anti-codon) for a particular amino acid; and 'wobble' base-pairing, i.e. permitting non-standard base-pairing at the 3rd anti-codon position.
Source: RNAcentral